GACCUUCACUUUGCCAAUGAUAAGUCAAAUUCUUGCAAAAGGAUUUCACACCAUCUCCAAUGAUGCCUUUUUGCCAACAUCUGUUAAUAAAAGCUCUUCACAGUUGCGGGAUGAGUUUAAAAGGUGCGUCAUGCUCAUGCUUUACAGGACAGAUGAGGUACCACAAUUGUUGUUUGUGCAGAGAGGAAGAGAUCAUCAGGUAGCGGUGUCCCAAACAACAAGGAGCGGCUCAUUCCAAGAAACAAGGAGGAGAACUAUGCGGGCAUCUCCAUGAAGUUGCCACUCUUAUAAGGAACCUUGGAAGAUCAGGGAGCAGCUAAUGCAUAGCAACCCCGGGUGCUUGUUGCGGUGCCCGCUUCCGCC
Rhodamnia argentea is the source of this 363-nucleotide long non-coding RNA. RefSeq lists it as uncharacterized. Lineage: Eukaryota; Viridiplantae; Streptophyta; Magnoliopsida; Myrtales; Myrtaceae. The transcript has 3 exons. The record is from RefSeq and is a predicted model, not a curated record.